AACCCAGUGAACGAGGCCAGGGAUCCAACCUGCGUCCUCACGGAUGCCAGUCAGGUUCGUUAACUGCUAAGCCACAACCGGAACUCCUGUGUUAUAUUCUUUGACCCUGUCCUCUCAUCCUUCUUCCAAAGGUCAUACUUUGAUCAAUUUUAAAUUCCCCAGAAUUCUUCUCUUUUCUGUGUUUGGACUUUUAUCACCCUAUUUUAGAUCUGCCGAUGUCAUCUCUUCGUUAAUCAUUCUCUCUGGUGAGACCAAUAAGGUCUGCUUUUCCAAGUUUUUCUCUGUAACCUGCAUUUUCUCUGGGUUUGUUUCUUCCGCUGGGGUCGUGCCUUGUUACGACUUUGUCAUGGUCUUUCCCUUGUGCGUUGGAAGGCUUCCUCUAGGACUUUUCCUCACCUCUUCAGGGGAGCUGGCGACCGAUCUGAUUGGUAGAACUGGGAAGAAUGAACUGGGAAUGCUCCAUUGAACUCAGGCCCUUUCUUUUUAGGGGUGACUUGUGUCCCACUCGCACUUGCCCCCCCCAGCAAUGUCUUAGACCGGCUGAAGACACAUCAACCAACGUGGAGGGCAAUCAAAGAUCAAAAAGUUGGAAACAAUGAAUACGUCCAUCAAAAGGGAAAUGGUGAAAGAAACCAAAGUCUGGCCGUCCGCGGCCCGGCACGCUGCAGGGACAACUCUUACUGGAUAUGCCUCUGUGCCUUCUGAAUUGUGUUUAUACUGCCUAUCAAUCAAUCAAUGACAGACUGGAAGAAUUUUAAACUCUCGAUAAGCAGCACUGAGAUUUUGUCUCGUUGGAGGGUUACUCGUGCACUUAUCUUGUAGGAAGGAGCUCACCUCUGGAUCGUCUAGCCAGCUCACGGCUCUGUGCUGCUGAGGGUGAUGCAAAGCCCCAUCCGUCUCUGUCUCUCCGAGCGCCUGAUGCCCAGCUGAUGAUUAAGAACACGGGGUGGACGGGCGGCUCCCUAGCUUACCCAGCUGCCGCUUGGCCUCUGCCCAGGUGGGCUCAUUGCCUCGGAGAAUCAUGACUGCCUGCAACACCAUCUCCACUUGGGCAGGCGGCCGUCCGUAAGACUUGAUCUCUCCGAUAUCCUUCUUGUUCAGAGACUCCAGGGCCUGGGGAAAGAGAUGAACUUGGGGAGCAGAAUCAGCUCAAGGGGCCAGACCGGUCCUUGAUGGAGACAGGACCCAGCUGCAGCGCCCUCUUGUCCCCACCUCUCCAAGGACUUGAAGAACAAAGAAGGCAGCCCCAUUCCCCUCCUGAGCCCUCCCUCCAGUCCCUGUACCCGCAUGGCCUCUUCCAGGGCUGGCAAUGCCUCUUCUAGAUCCUUCUGGGCAUUGUCAGCCAGGGCCUGGCACUUGACUUCCUCAAUCGCAAUCUUCUCACUAUUGGCUGUGACGGCCUGGGGAUGAAAAGAAGAUGAGGGUUUGCCUGCACCUUGAGCAAAAGCAGCUGGUAACGAUGAAAGAGAAGGCUAAAGAAAACGUGAGGCAUGGACCACGCAGCCCCCGCCUUGGUGACGGCGGUGGAGGCGGGCAAGCCUCUGCCCCCCGUCUGCGGGGAGCAGGGGGUUCGAGGGGCAGGACCCGUGCUGGGCGGGGGCACCUUCUGCUGCUCAUCCGCCUCCCGCUUCUGCUGCACAAUGAUGACCAGGUACUCCUCACACUGCUUCUGGAACUCGGCCACCUUUUUCUUGGCAUCCUCCAGCUCCAGCGACAUCACUUCCACCUUUUCCCUGGUUUCAUCGAUCUUAAACAACCCGGUCCGCAGCUUAUUGGCCUGGUCCAGCAGCUCCUGCCGCUUCUCUGCCAGCAACCUGGGGGACCGAGUAGGGAGAGGUGCCUGGGGGGGCUGGGCCCCCGGGAAGGAGAGGCCCACAGUCUCCCCUCCCAGCGUGGCUCCGGUCCCUGCCUGCCUGCCUGUUGCCACCACCACCACCUCCCUAGUCAGAGUUUUAUCAUUUCCUGCCUGGAUCCUUGCCGACAGCCUCCCAACUGGUCUUCCUGCUUCCAGACUCUUGUCCUUCGGAUUUAUUCUACGCACCACUGUCACCACACACGCUGUCAGAAGGAGCUUGCUAGCUACUGUUUUCAUCACACUACUUCCCUACUUGAGACUCCGCCACCGUCCCCCGCUGUGCAGCAGGCAGGGGGGCUGCGAUGAACCAGAAAACACAAACCUCUUCCAAGGGGGCGGCCGUCGCUGGGCUCCAGCCUGGUUUUUUAUUUUCCCUUUGAGAAUGAAUGUGGGCUCAGUACUGCCACAAUUUCUGAUUUUUUAAGAGGCUGGAAAUCUGGAUUUUUCCAAGGCUCUCACGUUUUAAAUGUUGGCAACUCGUUCCACACGUUUUAACACUGCACCAGCCAAGAAAAGAAUGUCUCUGCGGGGUUGUUUUCUGGACUAAGUAAGAAAACGCACGUAAAGGGUAACUUAGCACAGGGACUGGGGACAGUAAACAGGAUGUGAGCCCAUGUACCCAGGAAAGGCAAGGACUUUAUUUGAUUUUUUUUAAAUGUUCUCACUGAUGGAAUCAAAUUUCAUUUCACUUCAUUUAUUUUUGUGGCUGCUCCUGUGGCUUAUGGAAAUUCCUGGGCCAGGGAUCAAACCUGCACCAGAGCAGCAACCAGAGCCCCAGCAAUGAUGAUGCUGGAUCCUUAGCCCGCUGAGCCACCAGGGAACCCCAAGGACUCUAUUUUGUCGAUGGUAUAUAUAUUAUGAGUACCCGGAAUAGUGCCCGGCACACAGCAGGUGCUCAAAACACAUGUUAAAUGAACAAAUUAAUAUUGGUCAUCAGUAUUUAUUACAAAAGGCUUUUUCUUCACCUAGAUUAAAAUACUAAAUCUAAUAAAUGAGGGGGUUUUUUUAC
Molecule: non-coding RNA, 2864 nt
Organism: Sus scrofa (pig)
Lineage: Eukaryota; Metazoa; Chordata; Mammalia; Artiodactyla; Suidae
Source: RefSeq, a predicted model, not a curated record